Non-coding RNA from Cricetulus griseus (Chinese hamster), 521 nucleotides. NCBI's taxonomy places the organism in Eukaryota, Metazoa, Chordata, Mammalia, Rodentia, Cricetidae. The record is from RefSeq and is a predicted model, not a curated record.
GAAUUUAAACGUCAGCAAGUCAGUGGGGGCUUUACUUUUCCAGAAUUAAUACAAUGCAUGGAGAAGAAUACUAUAGUAUCACACUGGAGCCUUAAACCCUUUGACUUUGGAUUCCCAGUGAUGCUCAGUGAGUCCACUAGAUGUCGCUGACUCACCAGGUCAGCGUAUCUGACGGGAUAAUCUGAUGGCAGUUGCUACCUGGAGAAUCUCCUUCCCUGUGUGCUCUGACCCGCCCAUUCAAGCCUGGCUCCACGUUCUUGUGGCAACCAGGCUGCAAUCAAGCAAUAUCUCCAGCUAGUUCUUCACUGACUUCUAACUUAAUAUUGUUCUCUUGGUCUGGUUUCUGAGUCUCGGUGGCUCCUCGGGAUCCUGUGCCCCUUAGGAGCCUGGGGAUCUUUCAUUUGGUGAGCCAGCCAGGAGAUCAGAGGAGACCCCAGACUCAUUACCGCGACUAAGAGGAGAUUUCCACUUCUGGCAGACGAAUAUCAGUUGCUGACUACAGCCUGCUCCUAAAGACUGCG